Molecule: ribosomal RNA, 395 nt
Filed under: uncultured bacterium
Lineage: Bacteria
Description: bacterial SSU rRNA
Rfam family: Bacterial small subunit ribosomal RNA
Source: RNAcentral
GUGUCAGCAGCCGCGGUAACACGUAGGAGACAAGCGUUAUCCGGAUUUACUGGGCGUAAAGCGCGUGCAGGCGGUUUGGAAAGUUGGAUGUGAAAGCUCCUGGCUUAACUGGGAGAGGUCAUUCAAAACUACCAGACUUGAGAGUGGUAGAGGAAGGUGGAAUUCCGGGUGUAGUGGUGAAAUGCGUAGAUAUCCGGAGGAACACCAGUGGCGAAAGCGGCCUUCUGGACCAUUUCUGACGCUCAGACGCGAAAGCUAGGGUAGCAAACGGGAUUAGAGACCCCGGUAGUCCUAGCCGUAAACUAUGUUGACUUGGCGUUGGUGGGUUAAUAUCCGCCAGUGCCGUAGCUAACGCGAUAAGUCAACCGCCUGGGGACUACGAUCGCAAGAUUAAA